GGGGGUGUAGCUCAGAUGGUAGAGCGCGCGCUUAGCAUGCGCGAGGUACAGGGAUCGAUACCCGGCACCUCCA
Molecule: non-coding RNA, 73 nt
Organism: Ciona savignyi (Pacific transparent sea squirt)
Lineage: Eukaryota; Metazoa; Chordata; Ascidiacea; Phlebobranchia; Cionidae
Source: Rfam